RNAcentral lists this transfer RNA (73 nucleotides) under Lawsonibacter asaccharolyticus. RNAcentral describes it as "tRNA-Met". The stretch from base 5 to 68 matches the Rfam family "tRNA", at positions 5 to 66 of the family's 71-position model. From Rfam's summary of the family: Transfer RNA (tRNA) molecules are approximately 80 nucleotides in length. The record is from RNAcentral. Lineage: Bacteria; Bacillati; Bacillota; Clostridia; Eubacteriales; Oscillospiraceae.
GAUCGAAUAGCUAAGAUGGUUAUAGCAGGCGGUUCAUACCCGUCGUUCGUGGGUUCGAUUCCCACUUCACAUG